AUGUCCAAAUCGAGGACCGAUGCGCUCCCAUGGCUAAAGGUCUUGUCUGUCCCGCCCAAUUUCACCUGCUUGUCGACGCGGCCGGAGACCUGCGGAAGAUGCGCUGCCGCUCGGCUCGCGAACAUCAGCGGCCCCGGAUUCCUACGCGUCUGCUGCUCCCAUGGCUGGAGGGGCAGCAGCCACUUGCCUGCAGCUCCCAUGACCGGCUCCCCGGUGCGCUGCCGCUCGCCGCCACGCGGCCUUGCCAGUGCGGAAACGCUGGGAUGUCAAGCGGUCGUGGAGCCGGCGAGAUGGCAGAGUGAAGCCGCGUCACAAAGGAAGGAUGGGGGAUGUGGGUCGACUUGGGAGGAGGCAGCGGUGGAGACCGUCGGAAUUCCUGCCGUCGGGAGAGAGACGAGGAGGAAGAAGAAGAAAAUAGGGGGAAAAGGAGAUGUGUAUGAUGUGACCAAAUUUCUUGAGGAACACCCCGGAGGUGAAGAAAUCUUGCUGUCUUUAGCUGGUACUGCCCCAUCACACAUGUCUUUCUUUGGCAUGGAUGCAACAACGAACUUCGAAGAUGUGGGACAUAGCAGCGACGCUCGGGAAAUGAUGGAUAUGUACUACAUCGGCGUCAUCGACACAACCACGGGGUGA
This 633-nucleotide ribosomal RNA is filed under the name Triticum aestivum (bread wheat). RNAcentral's name for it is "partial small subunit ribosomal RNA". The record is from RNAcentral. Lineage: Eukaryota; Viridiplantae; Streptophyta; Magnoliopsida; Poales; Poaceae.